Molecule: ribosomal RNA, 650 nt
Filed under: uncultured bacterium
Lineage: Bacteria
Description: bacterial SSU rRNA
Rfam family: Bacterial small subunit ribosomal RNA
Source: RNAcentral
AGAGUUUGAUCCUGGCUCAGCGCGAACGCUGGCGGCAUGCCUAACACAUGCAAGUCGUACGGAGAGUGGGGCAACUCACUCUCAGUGGCAAACGGGUGAGUAACGCGUGAAUAACCUGCCUUUGAGAAGGGGAUAACUGUCCGAAAGGAUAGCUAAUACCCUAUAUUGCCUUUUGUCACUAAGGCAAAAGGUGAAAGCGAGGCUGUCAAAGGCUUCGGCUCAAAGAGGGGUUCGCGUCCUAUCAGGUAGUUGGUGGGGUAAUGGCCUACCAAGCCAAUGACGGGUAGCUGGUCUUAGAGGAUGAUCAGCCACAGUGGGACUGAGACACGGCCCGCACCCCUACGGGGGGCAGCAGUGGGGAAUCGUGGGCAAUGGGCGCAAGCCUGACCCCGCAAUGCCGCGUGAGGGAAGAAGCCCUUCGGGGUGUAAACCUCUGUCAGAUGGGAAGAUGGGACUAGGGGCUAAUACCUCCUGGUCUUGACGGUACCAUCAGAGGAAGGGACGGCUAACUACGUGCCAGCAGCCGCGGUAAUACGUAGGUCCCGAGCGUUGCGCGAUGUUACUGGGCGUAAAGCGUCCGUAGCUGGUUUCGUAAGCGGAUUGUCAAAGCCCGAAGCUCAACUUCGGCAAGGCAUUCCGAACUGCGUUAC